AUACGUAGGUGGCAAGCGUUGUCCGGAAUUACUGGGCGUAAAGGGCGUGUAGGCGGGGGAACAAGUCGGAUGUGAAAAACCAUGGCUUAACUGUGGCGCUGCAUCUGAAACUGUUUUUCUUGAGUGCUGGAGAGGAAAGUGGAAUUCCCAGUGUAGCGGUGAAAUGCGUAGAGAUUGGGAGGAACACCAGUGGCGAAGGCGGCUUUCUGGACAGUAACUGACGCUGAGGCGCGAAAGCGUGGGGAGCAAACAGGAUUAGAUACCCUGGUAGUCCACGCCGUAAACGAUGGAUACUAGGUGUAGGAGGUAUCGACCCCUUCUGUGCCGGAGUAAACACAAUAAGUAUCCCGCCUGGGGAGUACGACCGCAAGGUUGAA
Molecule: ribosomal RNA, 377 nt
Filed under: uncultured bacterium
Lineage: Bacteria
Description: bacterial SSU rRNA
Rfam family: Bacterial small subunit ribosomal RNA
Source: RNAcentral